GAUGAAGAACGUAGCGAAAUGCGAUAAGUAGUGUGAAUUGCAGAAUUCAGUUAAUCAUCGAAUCUUUGAACGCACAUUGCGCCCCUUGGUAUUCCAUGGGGCAUGCCUGUUCGAGCGUCAUUUACACCCUCAAGCUCUGCUUGGUGUUGGGCGUCUGUCCCGCUGCUUUGCGCGGACUCGCCUCAAAGGUAUUGGCAGCGAUCAUGCCAGCUUCUCGCGCAGCACAUUGCGCUUCUUGAAGUUCUGGUGGAUCCGCGUCCAUUAAGCUUACCUUCAUGACUUGACCUCGGAUCAGGUAGGGAUACCCGCUGAACUUAAGCAUAUCAAUAAGCGGAGGA
Molecule: unclassified non-coding RNA, 338 nt
Filed under: soil metagenome
Description: partial contains 5.8S ribosomal RNA, internal transcribed spacer 2, and large subunit ribosomal RNA
Rfam family: 5.8S ribosomal RNA (bases 1-120)
Source: RNAcentral